Non-coding RNA from Erpetoichthys calabaricus (reedfish), 90 nucleotides. The record is from the annotation of a RefSeq genome assembly. NCBI's taxonomy places the organism in Eukaryota, Metazoa, Chordata, Cladistia, Polypteriformes, Polypteridae.
GAUACGUUUUUAAGGUGGCCGAGUGGUUAAGGCGAUGGACUGCUAAUCCAUUGUGCUCUGCACGCGUGGGUUUGAAUCCCACCCUUGUCG